GUGGGGAAUAUUGCACAAUGGGCGCAAGCCUGAUGCAGCAACGCCGCGUGAGGGACGACGGCCUUCGGGUUGUAAACCUCUUUUAGCAGGGAAGAAGCGAAAGUGACGGUACCUGCAGAAAAAGCACCGGCUAACUACGUGCCAGCAGCCGCGGUAAUACGUAGGGUGCAAGCGUUGUCCGGAAUUAUUGGGCGUAAAGAGCUCGUAGGCGGUUUGUCGCGUCUGCUGUGAAAACCCGAGGCUCAACCUCGGGCCUGCAGUGGGUACGGGCAGACUAGAGUGCGGUAGGGGAGAUUGGAAUUCCUGGUGGAGCGGUGGAAUGCGCAGAUAUCAGGAGGAACACCGAUGGCGAAGGCAGAUCUCUGGGCCGUAACUGACGCUGAGGAGCGAAAGCGUGGGGAGCGAACAGGAUUAGAAACCCUGGUAGUCC
RNAcentral lists this ribosomal RNA (430 nucleotides) under uncultured bacterium. Its description in RNAcentral is "partial 16S ribosomal RNA". It matches the Rfam family "Bacterial small subunit ribosomal RNA", at positions 354 to 796 of the family's 1533-position model. The record is from RNAcentral.